Molecule: ribosomal RNA, 650 nt
Filed under: uncultured fungus
Lineage: Eukaryota; Fungi
Description: eukaryotic LSU rRNA
Rfam family: Eukaryotic large subunit ribosomal RNA
Source: RNAcentral
CCCGCUGAACUUAAGCAUAUUACUCAGCGGAGGAAAAGAAAACAACCGUGAUUCCCUCAGUGAGCGGCGAGCGAAGAGGGACCGAACUCGACGCCGAAUCGGGCUUCACAGAGCCUUGAGUUGUGGCGAGCUGUUUCGUGACUGGUGUGGGAUUGGCGAAAUUCAAUGCGCAAAGCAAACCCAUUGCUGAACACAACCCUUCAUGUGAGUAUUGAGCCAAAGAAGGUGACAGCCCAUUGAGCCAAAAACCCGAGCAUCUCACUAAGCAGUACCAAGCGAGUAGCGCUUCUUGGGAGUGAAGCGUCAAUCGGCAGGUAUGUGUCUGCCAAGGUUAAAUACAGAGUAGGAAGACCGAUAUCGAACAAGUAGCGUGAGCGAAAGUUUGAAAAGCACUUUGGAAAGAGAGUGACAUAGAACCUGAAGUCGUGACAAUGACAAUGGAAGCAUCUCCAUUUGAUCGCCAGAACCAGCCCUUCAGCAUCAUCCUGUUCGGACAUUUAGUGCCGGGCGGGUAACGAGUGCAGACCUGGGGCGUGGUGACAUGAGCGGAGCUAAAGUGGGACGCACUGCCUAGCAGCGAGCGCCCUCUUCUCCGUGACCUCGAUGCUGGCGCAAGGCAAUGGGAUGCCUUCACCCGUCUUGAAACACGG